RNAcentral lists this ribosomal RNA (628 nucleotides) under Psilocybe cyanescens. RNAcentral's name for it is "eukaryotic LSU rRNA". It matches the Rfam family "Eukaryotic large subunit ribosomal RNA", at positions 47 to 657 of the family's 3401-position model. Lineage: Eukaryota; Fungi; Basidiomycota; Agaricomycetes; Agaricales; Agrocybaceae. The record is from RNAcentral.
UAAGCGGAGGAAAAGAAACUAACAAGGAUUCCCCUAGUAACUGCGAGUGAAGCGGGAAAAGCUCAAAUUUAAAAUCUGGCGGUCUUUGGCUGUCCGAGUUGUAAUCUAGAGAAGUGUUAUCCGCGCUGGACCGUGUACAAGUCUCCUGGAAUGGAGCGUCAUAGAGGGUGAGAAUCCCGUCUUUGACACGGACUGCCAGGGCUUUGUGAUGCGCUCUCAAAGAGUCGAGUUGUUUGGGAAUGCAGCUCAAAAUGGGUGGUAAAUUCCAUCUAAAGCUAAAUAUUGGCGAGAGACCGAUAGCGAACAAGUACCGUGAGGGAAAGAUGAAAAGAACUUUGGAAAGAGAGUUAAACAGUACGUGAAAUUGCUGAAAGGGAAACGCUUGAAGUCAGUCGCGUUGGCCGGGGAUCAACCUUGCUUUUGCUGGGCGUACUUUCCGGUCGACGGGUCAGCAUCAAUUUUGACCGUUGGAUAAAGGCUGAGGGAAUGUGGCUCCUUCGGGAGUGUUAUAGCCCUUGGUCGCAUACAACGAUUGGGAUUGAGGAACUCAGCACGCCGCAAGGCCGGGUACUUGUACCACGUUCGUGCUUAGGAUGCUGGCAUAAUGGCUUUAAUCGACCCGUCUUGA